AUUGAACGCUAGCGGGAUGCUUUACACAUGCAAGUCGACCGAGUGGCGGACGGGUGAGUAAUAUAUUGGAACGUGCCCAGUAGCGGGGGAUAACUACUCGAAAGAGUGUCUACUACCGCCUACUCUUCGAGCGGCCGAUAUCGGAUUAGCUAGUUGGUGGGGUAAAGGCUCACCAAGGCAACGAUCCGUAGCUGGUUUGAGAGGACGACCAGCGAAGCUGGAACUGAGAAACGGAGCAGACUACUACGGGAGGCAGCAGUGGGGAAUGUUGGACAGUGGGGGAAACCCUGAUGCAUGCAUGCCGCGUGUAUGAGAAGGACUUCGGGUUGUAAAGUACUUUUGGCAGUGAGGCGGUCUAUUCAGAAUAAGCACCGGCUACCGACGUGCCAGCAGCCGCGGUAAUUC
Molecule: ribosomal RNA, 405 nt
Filed under: uncultured bacterium
Lineage: Bacteria
Description: partial 16S ribosomal RNA
Rfam family: Bacterial small subunit ribosomal RNA
Source: RNAcentral